UUUGUUUUGAUUCAUUUUUAAUGAAAAUAAAUUUUGUCAUUUUUAGGAGAAUACUCAACUAGUCACCCACAAGUAUGAGAACUUUGCAUCAUCAUGAGAAGGGCUCCAACUUGGAUAAGGAUAAACAAGUAUGCAACUAGCUCUCACAGAUGGAAAAGAAUUAUCAUUAAUACUAUGGGGAUAGGAAAUUAUAUCUCAACUAUGGAAAUGACUCAUGUCUAA
Molecule: long non-coding RNA, 222 nt
Filed under: Lathyrus oleraceus (garden pea)
Lineage: Eukaryota; Viridiplantae; Streptophyta; Magnoliopsida; Fabales; Fabaceae
Description: Pisum sativum (pea) long non-coding RNA (PSAT_LNC037944)
Source: RNAcentral